This 253-nucleotide ribosomal RNA is filed under the name uncultured bacterium. RNAcentral describes it as "partial 16S ribosomal RNA". It matches the Rfam family "Bacterial small subunit ribosomal RNA", at positions 524 to 776 of the family's 1533-position model. RNAcentral also lists the same sequence under 1 other name. The record is from RNAcentral.
UACGUAGGUGGCGAGCGUUGUCCGGAAUCACUGGGCGUAAAGCGCGCGCAGGCGGCGAUCUACGUCUGGGGUGAAAGCCCGGAGCUCAACUCCGGGACUGCCUUGGAUACGGGAUCGCUUGAGGAUUGGAGAGGCAAGGGGAAUUCCACGUGUAGCGGUGAAAUGCGUAGAGAUGUGGAGGAACACCUGUGGCGAAGGCGCCUUGCUGGCCAAUUACUGACGCUGAGGCGCGAAAGCGUGGGGAGCAAACAGG